Molecule: ribosomal RNA, 518 nt
Filed under: Nannoperca variegata
Lineage: Eukaryota; Metazoa; Chordata; Actinopteri; Centrarchiformes; Percichthyidae
Description: partial 16S ribosomal RNA
Rfam family: Bacterial large subunit ribosomal RNA
Source: RNAcentral
UAUGUUUAACGGCCGCGGUAUUUUAACCGUGCGAAGGUAGCGCAAUCACUUGUCUCUUAAAUGGGGACCUGUAUGAAUGGCAUAACGAGGGCUUAACUGUCUCCUUUUUCAAGUCAAUGAAAUUGAUCUUCCCGUGCAGAAGCGGGAAUAAUAACAUAAGACGAGAAGACCCUAUGGAGCUUUAGACACCAAGGCAGAUCAUGUUAAACACCCCCAAAUAAAGGGCUAAACCAAAAGAAACCUACCCUAAUGUCUUCGGUUGGGGCGACCGCGGGGAAACAAAAAUCCCCCACGUGGAACGGGAGAAUUCCUAUUUCUCACCUCCUAAAACUAAGAGCCCCCGCUCUAGUAAACAGAAUUUCUGACCAAAAAUGAUCCGGCAAUGCCGAUCAACGGACCAAGUUACCCUAGGGAUAACAGCGCAAUCCUCUUUUAGAGCCCAUAUCGACAAGGGGGUUUACGACCUCGAUGUUGGAUCAGGACAUCCUAAUGGUGCAGCCGCUAUUAAGGGUUCGUUU